Dendroctonus ponderosae (mountain pine beetle) is the source of this 615-nucleotide long non-coding RNA. RefSeq lists it as uncharacterized. Lineage: Eukaryota; Metazoa; Arthropoda; Insecta; Coleoptera; Curculionidae. The transcript is spliced from 3 exons. The record is from RefSeq and is a predicted model, not a curated record.
AUAAACUGAAGGAAUAUUUAGUUGUGUAUUAUUAAAUUCGUGAAAAUGUAAUGUCUUAAGUUUAUGUGGCGUUAAUUGAGAUGUUGUGCAACCUGAGAGUUCGAUUGAAAAUGUUAAAAGUCUAAAGCUAUCCGAUGAGCAAGAACCAACCAGUGUGUUUCAGCCCUAGCGUUACCCGGUUAGACAUAAAGGCUAAAUUUGUGCCCGGAAGUGAAUCCAGCAGCGGAAAUUAUAGCGGGACGACUACUGAGGAUGAACUCUGUGAUGUUGAAGAAGUCCCCUAAUAAGACCUGCAACUGGACGGGUCCUUCUGCUAAGCCGAAAGCCGCCAAAGGCCGUCUAAAGCCGUAACUGCUGUUCUCACCGGACAAUGGAUGGUCAACUAUCACAUGCAUAAAACCGGAGUAGGGGAUGAAUCUGUGAUUCUAGACGGUCGGACGGAGGACAACGCAAACGUCUAGCUGGGUACAAGUGUCGACCAACAUGGUGAUUGGGCAGCAUUCUAUUGCCUUAAAGACGUUUAUUCAUUACCGUUUUCAAAAUAUAGGUACUCGACGUGUGAAUAUCCUGACAUCAUUACUGUUUUUUAAUAAUAUAUAAUAAAUGUUUUGAAUU